This is a long non-coding RNA of Oncorhynchus nerka (sockeye salmon), 863 nucleotides long. RefSeq lists it as uncharacterized. NCBI's taxonomy places the organism in Eukaryota, Metazoa, Chordata, Actinopteri, Salmoniformes, Salmonidae. The transcript is spliced from 2 exons. The record is from RefSeq and is a predicted model, not a curated record.
GUCCCAGAUGUUUAACUUGAACCUGAGGAGGACGACGACAACGGGAUGAGAAGACGAUGAAAAGAGAGGAGUUGAGGAAAGAUGAACGUGGUACCUUCAGGAGUUUGGAAAUUGCUCCCAAGAAUGAACCAGACUUGUGGAGGUCUACCAUUUUUUUUCUGAGGUCUUGGCUGAUUUAUUUUGAUUUUCCCAUGAUGUCAAGCAAAGAGGCACUGUGUUUGAAGGUAGGCCUUGAAAUACAUCCACAGUUUAACCUCUAAUUGACUCAAAUGAUGUCAAUUAGCCUAUCAGAAGCUUAUAAAGCCGUAACAUAAUUUUCUGGGAUUUUCCAAGCUGUUUAAAGGCACAGCCAACUUAGUGUAUGUAAACCUCUGACCCACUGGAAUUGUGAUACAGUGAAUUAUAAGUGAAAUAAUCUGUCUAUAAACAAUUGUUGGAAAAAUUACUUGUGUCAUGCACAAAGUAGAUGCCCUAACCUACUUGCCAAAACUAUAGUUUGUUAACAAGACAUUUGUGGAGUGGUUGAAAAACGGGUUUUAAUGACUCCAACCUAAGUGUAUGUAAACUUCCGACUUGCCAACUGUAAGUAGGCCUAUAUCUACAGCCUAUCCACGAUCCGUGUCAGCGAAAUUCCUCGCGUUGAUUGAAAUUAUGACUGUCUAAUCCUACCUCUAUAUGGUAUCAUAUCCCUAACAGUCUGUGUAUUAAACUUGGUGGAAUUGAAAUCCUAAUGAAAUGUGUUUUUGACCCUCCAAAAUUACCUGUUAAAUUGUGUAAGUUUCACAAAUGUUUUUUAUCUGGAAAAUGAUAUUUUUGAAUAAUAAUAAUUUAAAUGAUUUUGAAUAAUAAAGUUAUUAAAAUGA